UGUUUUAUAAAAGUUGGUGAAAUUAACGAUGCUAAAUGAAAAUGUGAAAAGUUAUAUAAAAAGUGUUUAAUAAGUGAAAAUUUGAAGUGCAAACCCAUUGCUGUCGCUGUAGCGUGUAGAAAGAAGCGAUUCGCAUGUAUAUAUGUAUAUAUGAGUGGAAGUAUAAAGGUGCGCUUGAUGUAAAAAAGCCGAAACGAUUUGCAUAAAAUGGCGCUAAGAGUUGCCGGUUUCUUAUUUUCAAUUUUAUUUUUUUUGGUGAAGAUUUUUGUGAUUGAAGUGUUAACAAAGUGCAAAAUAGUUCCUGUAGCUUCAAAGCGAGCAAUUAAAUGGUGAAAUAUAUUCUUGUAAUGCAAUGAUCGAAGAACGAAAAAAAACAAGUUAAUUCAUGCACACAUAUGCAUGCAUAAGUAUGUAUGUAUGUAUGAAAUGCACAUGCAUAUACAUAUGCAUAGAUGUAAAUAUAUAAGUAUGUGUGUAUGUAGACAUGCAUACACUUAUGCAUUUGCGAAUGAACAGAGGUAAGCAAAAAGCCUGGCCGAAGAACACGAAAGGUAAUGAGGAAUAAGAGGUAAGCGGAAGAAGCAGCUUAUGUGGUUCAGCCCUGGAGCGAUCCCUGAAGACAGGAAAGGCAAAAGGAAAGUCGAGAAUCAUUGCUAGGUCACAAGCCAUAAACUAUUAACCAAACUUUCUUGCUUCGUACAUAUCUCAAAAUCCUUUGGCUAAGCUAGAAGCUUCCAUAAAAUGGUCUGGAACUGAAGAUCGCCUGGACAACUUAUCUGGACCUUGGACUACAUUCAUCUUAUUACAGUAAUAUAUUUAUAACUAGCUAACUAACUAUAUCUUGACAGUUUCUCAACCGUUUCACUUAAUUACGUUUACAUUAAACGAGAUUUAUUUGCCAUUAAAAAUUAUUAUGAUAUUUGAAGUAUGGAAAAGUUUUGCGAAAAGCACGAUUUAUGCAACACCGCAAGUGCGGCGCAGUUAGCUAUGUAAAUGUUUUCGCAGCUGUUUAUGUAUUUACUUUUAAUGCCACUCGAAAUGGCGGCUGCCAGUGGCUCCUCCAAGGCGCAGCCGAGCUGCAAUUCCAUAGAAGCAUCAACAGGAGCAGCAGCAGCAGCCAACCGCACAACGCCAAGAAAAUGCUAACAAUUUUAAUUAAUGGAUAAAGUUCUGUGGAAUUCUGGUCGCCGCUCCACGCCCACAUGGCAGCAUAUUUUGCCAGUGGUCGCGCAGCUGGUUUUGGGGUUGUUGCAGCGCCACCAAAUUAUGUGUACUUUGUUUGUCUAAAUAUUUAUGCACUGCCAACCAGAUUCGUUGCCCACUCAAAAGCAUUUUUCUCCAGCUAUGCUCAAAGGAAAUCUGAGAAUUCUAGUUGUUUUUUAUUUGAAUUUACUUGAAUGUUAAAUAAGAA
Long non-coding RNA from Drosophila virilis, 1411 nucleotides. RefSeq lists it as uncharacterized. Lineage: Eukaryota; Metazoa; Arthropoda; Insecta; Diptera; Drosophilidae. The record is from RefSeq and is a predicted model, not a curated record.